This 502-nucleotide ribosomal RNA is filed under the name Escherichia coli. RNAcentral describes it as "partial 23S ribosomal RNA". It matches the Rfam family "Bacterial large subunit ribosomal RNA", at positions 412 to 917 of the family's 2925-position model. Lineage: Bacteria; Pseudomonadati; Pseudomonadota; Gammaproteobacteria; Enterobacterales; Enterobacteriaceae. The record is from RNAcentral.
GUAGGGCGGGACACGUGGUAUCCUGUCUGAAUAUGGGGGGACCAUCCUCCAAGGCUAAAUACUCCUGACUGACCGAUAGUGAACCAGUACCGUGAGGGAAAGGCGAAAAGAACCCCGGCGAGGGGAGUGAAAAAGAACCUGAAACCGUGUACGUACAAGCAGUGGGAGCCUCUUUAUGGGGUGACUGCGUACCUUUUGUAUAAUGGGUCAGCGACUUAUAUUCUGUAGCAAGGUUAACCGAAUAGGGGAGCCGAAGGGAAACCGAGUCUUAACUGGGCGUUAAGUUGCAGGGUAUAGACCCGAAACCCGGUGAUCUAGCCAUGGGCAGGUUGAAGGUUGGGUAACACUAACUGGAGGACCGAACCGACUAAUGUUGAAAAAUUAGCGGAUGACUUGUGGCUGGGGGUGAAAGGCCAAUCAAACCGGGAGAUAGCUGGUUCUCCCCGAAAGCUAUUUAGGUAGCGCCUCGUGAAUUCAUCUCCGGGGGUAGAGCACUGUUUCG